RNAcentral lists this ribosomal RNA (452 nucleotides) under uncultured bacterium. RNAcentral's name for it is "bacterial SSU rRNA". It matches the Rfam family "Bacterial small subunit ribosomal RNA", at positions 29 to 524 of the family's 1533-position model. The record is from RNAcentral.
AACGAACGCUGGCGGCAUGCCUAACACAUGCAAGUCGAACGAAGUCUUCGGACUUAGUGGCGCACGGGUGCGUAACGCGUGGGAAUCUGCCCUUGGGUGCGGAAUAACUUCUCGAAAGGGAUGCUAAUACCGCAUAAUGUCGUAAGACCAAAGAUUUAUCGCCCAAGGAUGAGCCCGCGUAAGAUUAGCUAGUUGGUGGGGUAAAAGCCUACCAAGGCGACGAUCUUUAGCUGGUCUGAGAGGAUGAUCAGCCACACUGGGACUGAGACACGGCCCAGACUCCUACGGGAGGCAGCAGGUGGGGAAUAUUGGACAAUGGGACGAAAGCCUGAUCCAGCAAUGCCGCGUGAGUGAUGAAGGCCCUAGGGUUGUAAAGCUCUUUUACCAGGGAUGAUAAUGACAGUACCUGGAGAAUAAGCUCCGGCUAACUCCGUGCCAGCAGCCGCGGUAAU